This 336-nucleotide ribosomal RNA is filed under the name Triticum aestivum (bread wheat). Its description in RNAcentral is "partial small subunit ribosomal RNA". The record is from RNAcentral. Lineage: Eukaryota; Viridiplantae; Streptophyta; Magnoliopsida; Poales; Poaceae.
AUGGCUCCGUCGCAGCCCAAGUCGGGCCUCUUCGUGGGCAUCAACAAGGGCCACGUCGUCACCAAGCGCGAGCUGCCGCCGCGCCCGUCCGACCGCAAGGGGAAAGGUACCAAGAGGGUGCAUUUCGUCAGGAACUUGAUCAGGGAGGUAGCUGGGUUUGCUCCGUAUGAGAAGCGUAUCACUGAGCUUCUCAAGGUUGGCAAGGACAAGCGUGCCCUGAAGGUGGCGAAGCGAAAGUUGGGUACCCACAAGAGGGCGAAGAAGAAGAGAGAGGAGAUGUCCAGUGUCCUCAGGAAGAUGAGAUCUGCUGGAACUGGAACCGAGAAGAAGAAAUAG